This 469-nucleotide ribosomal RNA is filed under the name uncultured bacterium. RNAcentral's name for it is "partial 16S ribosomal RNA". It matches the Rfam family "Bacterial small subunit ribosomal RNA", at positions 28 to 507 of the family's 1533-position model. The record is from RNAcentral.
GACGAACGCUGGCGGCGUGCUUAACACAUGCAAGUCGAACGGUGAAGCACCAGCUUGCUGGGGUGGAUGAGUGGCGAACGGGUGAGUAAUACGUGAGUAACCUGCCCUUGACUCUGGGAUAAGCUCGGGAAACUGGGGCUAAUACCGGAUACUACAUGCCACCGCAUGGUGGUGGGUGGAAAGGGUUUGCUGGUUGGGGUUGGGCUCAGGGCUUUUAAGCUGUUGGGUGGGGUGUGGGCUACCCAAGGCGUGGAGGGUUGCCGGGCCGGGGGGGGGACCCGCCACACUUGGACUGAGAAAAGGCCCAGACUCCCACGGGGGGCAAGCGGUGGGAAUAUUGGACAAUGGGCGGGAGCCUUAUGCAGCCACGCCGGGGGGGGGGUGACGGGCUUCGGGUUGUAAACCUCUUUCAGCAGGGAAGAAGCCGCAAGUGACGGUACCUGCAGAAGAAGCGCCGGCUAACUACGUG